UACAGAGGGUGCAAGCGUUAAUCGGAAUUACUGGGCGUAAAGCGUGCGUAGACGGUAGCGUAAGUCGGGUGUGAAAGCCCCGGGCUCAACCUGGGAAUUGCAUUCGAGACUGCUCUGCUAGGGUGCGGAAGAGGGAAGCGGAAUUUCCGGUGUAGCGGUGAAAUGCGUAGAUAUCUGGAGGAACACCGGUGGCGAAGGCGGCAUCCUGGACCAAUUCUGACGCUGAGGAGCGAAAGCCAGGGGAGCAAACGGG
Molecule: ribosomal RNA, 253 nt
Filed under: uncultured bacterium
Lineage: Bacteria
Description: partial 16S ribosomal RNA
Rfam family: Bacterial small subunit ribosomal RNA
Source: RNAcentral